UACGUAGGGGGCUAGCGUUGUCCGGAAUCAUUGGGCGUAAAGCGCGCGUAGGCGGCCUGUUAAGUCCGCUGUGAAAGUCCGGGGCUCAACCCCGGGAGGCGGGUGGAUACUGUCGAGCUCGAGUCCGGAAGAGGCGAGUGGAAUUCCUGGUGUAGCGGUGAAAUGCGCAGAUAUCAGGAGGAACACCGAUGGCGAAGGCAGCUCGCUGGGACGUGACUGACGCUGAGACGCGAAAGCGUGGGGAGCAAACAGG
RNAcentral lists this ribosomal RNA (253 nucleotides) under uncultured bacterium. RNAcentral's name for it is "partial 16S ribosomal RNA". It matches the Rfam family "Bacterial small subunit ribosomal RNA", at positions 524 to 776 of the family's 1533-position model. The record is from RNAcentral.